CAGGGCGGGGCCCGGCUCCGGUUGUUCCGCCACGUUUGAGCGGGCGAGCCCGGCGGCCGGGAGACGCCAGGGAACGGGGCUGGUGGGGGUACAAAGGCUCGGUUCCGUCGCCUUCAGCCCUGCGGUGGGGGCACGGGGCAAGUGAGGGGACGGCAGAGGCGGCGUUCGGUGUGAGGCUGCGCCCUGGGCUCCUGAAAAGCCAGGGCUGCAGUCAUUUGAAGGCUUGACUGGGGCUGGAGGAUUUUCAUCCAAGAUGGCUCACUCACCCAGCUGUUGGCAGGAGACCUCGGUUCUUUGACUUCUCCGUAAGACUGGGGACUGGGGACUAAAGGCAAUAGCUUGACUUCUGAAAAGGGCUGGACUGAAGGUCAGCCACAUGGGCAGUGUGAAGGAUCCCCAGCAAAACUCUGGACAUCAGUGGCUGGGCAAGCUUCUCUGGUUGGCGGUACUCUGCAUAUUGUCACACAUCAACUCUGGGAGAAGAUCAUACUGUUCAUGUCUCCACAAGGGGAGGACAGCUGGAAACUCAGUGUCUGGACCUCUUUCCUUGGCUGAUUUUAUUGUGUAUGACGGAGUCUCACUCUGUUGCCAGGCUGGAGUGCAGUGGCACGAUCUCGGCUCACCACAACCUCUGCCACCUGGGUUCAAGCGAUUCUCCUGCCUCAGCCUCCUGAGUAGCUGGGAUUACACACAAUGCGUUCUCCUUUCUUCCUCUCCACUAAUCUGUACUUCUAAGAGGUGUUGAGUUUCGGCCAAACUUUCUGCUCGGCUCGCAUCAAAGGCUGCCCUCUUGUGAAUAGCCAGCUCUCACCUAAUGAUCUCCCUACUCACUCCUGACCAGGACGCAGGUCAUUCCCCAUAAUAAUUAGCUCACAGGCAGAGUUUCCAGGCGCUUCCAGGAGCAUCAAUCACCGGGAUGAAUGGGAAGCCCGUGUGUGGGAACUGCAGGGGGAGCUGGGUGCAGAGCCACCUCAGCCCUGUCACCCUGCGCGUGUCUCUGCCAUGCUUCCUUGGAUCCCUAUCUACCCCGUUUUGGGUGACAGGACGAGUUGGGCCAGUUACCAGGAUCUUGUCGCCUGGUUCUGAUGGUGUCUUGGUUCCCGGCUGGGGUUUUGUGUUUACCACGAGCGUUGCCUGCUGUCGGGGAGCUGCGUGUGUUUCACAACAAACAGGGAGCCAGGGAGACCACCCUGCGGGGCUGCCCCUUCCCUCAGCGCUUUCUGCUUGGGUCGCUGGCGUCUUGCAGUGCCUUCGUUCGUCUGUGGUGUGAGGUGCUGGUCCAGGCUUACGCGCUAACAGUGAAUUAGAAGGAGAAAACGCUCUGCGAGUGCAGCGGAAGGUCAAUAUGGAGCCUGGUUUGCUUUUAGAAUCUUCCCAAGGCCGAUGGGCUUCCUCUUCCCUCCUGACCAGAGGCUUUGAUGCCCCUGCCCUGGGCUGCCUGGUUCCUGCCCCGAGUCUUCAGAAAGAUCCCCGGGCCUGGAGACUGUGAGUUCAGGUUCAGAUGCCUUGCGUGGCCUGUGAAUCCGGGAGGACCCUGUGGCUGGAGAAAUCCCGCCGCGAACACCCAGCGACCAGGUCUACAGCAGCACCAGGUCUGUGCUUCCCCCUGGUGGUCACAGAUUUUACUACACGCGGCCCACAAGUAAAAUGAGUUUCUCUUCAGUGGCCCGGUUAUCUUCUGUCGUGUAGGAGGAAGUCCAGAGCCACGGAAAUUCGGUAAGGAUCGGAUAAGGGCAAUAAAAUCGCAGCUCUAAAUCUUUUCAUGGAGUUGAAGACAGACGUUUGACUGUGGGAGCCAUCUCAUCUUUAUAACCUGGUAAACAAUGCCAGAAUAAAAACAACAAAUUCAAUGUAUUUAAGUCGGUUUCGACAGUGAGGAAUUAAAAUUAAAUUUAUUUAAACUAUUUUGACUUUUACCCAAGUUUUUCUUACAGUUCCAUCUCAUUUUUCCCUCCUUACAUAGUUUGGGGAGUACAGGACAUUUACUUUGUGGACUGCCAUUCAAUUUGACAACAGAUUUGUUUUUAAUGUGCACUUUCUGGAAACAAGAUAUUGUUCCUCAAAGAAAUGAAAAAAAUGUUGGGAAUACAUAAGACAUCAUAACAGACACCAGCCUGAGUCGAAGCUGUUAAAGAGGCCAAGAAUUCCCAAGCUUUCCCAGGCAAACGGGGAAGAACACUGGGAUGCCUUUUCCUCCUCCUCUGUCCAUCUGCAGGCCAAGUGUGCAUCAGUCACAGGCAAACUCUGAAUUGAGCUUUGUGCAAGUCUCUGGAAAGAGACCCAAGAUCGUGUGAUGAGCAAAAGUGACAGUGCUGGAGGCAGCGACAUCUGCAGAGCCAGCCCCAUCCCUAUCUGCAGCAGAAUAUGUAUGGGGAUCCUUUAUGUGAACAAUCCACCCAGGGUAGAAUGGGGCUUUUGACAUCAGCUGAGACCCAGGCGGCCUUACAAUGAGAGGGCUGUUGGUCAAAGGAAGGACUGUUUAAUGAACUGAGAAUCUGAGGCCAGCUCUGGCCAUCUGCACUUGGAAUCAUUAGAGCAACUCUACUGUAACUGGCAACCUUGAAUAAUGCAGCAAAUUCAUAUUCCAAAAUUGUGAACUUUAAAAUUUUGUGUUUGUGUCUAUGAUGAAAAGCAUUAUAUAAACAUUUGAUACUACAAUUUUAUUAGUAAGGAAGGCUGAAAAAGUAUCUCUCUUUUGACUCUGAGGUCAAUAAUGAUAAUGGCUUUUCCCCUACACUGGGAUAGAAAUGUUCUGUCAAGGAUAUGAAAACACUUUAUGAAAAUGAAAUUCAUUAAAGCCCUUAAUAAUCAGGUAGGGAAGGCAGGUGCUCACAAUUGUCACCUGUUGGUGAGUGAACACCUUAGGCUCGGGGAGGACAAUGACUCAAGAACAAGGUCGAAUUGCAGGUGGGGGGUGAAGCUGAUCCCUAACAGUGUCCUCCAGCCCCUGGCACUGAGGAAGGACAUGGAGGGCUUGCAUCGACUUUUCCUGGCAGGCUUGUGAUUCCCAGCCAGAAUGCAGGUGGCAAUGUUGUGAUUCCUGGCGUAACCUUCAAUGCUUCAAUGAUAAUCUCUGCUGGUGCCAGGCACCAGCUGAGUGUCACUGUGCAGCUCCCAGGCUUAAGUGAUGCAUGCCGAGGUUUUCAGAGCAGUCUCUCAUUUAUUAGUUGUGUUGGAAAGAAAUCUGUACUACCUAACUGGGUACCUCUGGAUUUUAACAGCUGUGGUUUAUAAGAGAUAUGAGAGGGGGUUUGUUUUCAAAGUGCCUUUCACAAAGUAACACCUUAGACUGUAGUUUACAUUCCAUUCCAGUAGGAUAACUUGCAACACUUCUGUGCUCAGAAAUCCAACUGUGCAAGAAAAGUCAGGUUAUAUUUUCAUACAGCCCGUUCUGGCAAAUAUGCCUUCACACCACUUUCCCUCCUCCUCACCGCUAUUGGCAAUAGUCCCAAUGGAAGAGUUUUAUGUCAAAUGCUGAGUAUCUUGGAAGCUGUCCUGCACAGACACGACUGCUUGGCUGCGUGUUGGAGAGUCGCGGUUGGACUGGGAGACCAGGAAGGUCCCUUCUGGUCUGAGAUGUGAUGACUCUAGAACUAAUUAGUUUCAACUCAUAACACGAAAUGAUACUAGCUACCAUUUGGUGGGCUUUUUCUGUGUUCCAGGCUCUGUGCUAAGAUCUUAGCAUUACUCUAAUUACAAAAUCCCUGCCAAUAUUAUCCUCAGUUUACGCAAGAACAAAUGGGUUUAGGGAAAUCAAAAACUUGUCCAAUGACACAGAUUUAAGAUUUAGCAACUGAUGGCCACGUGGAAAUGGAUUACAGAUUAUUCUAAUUGGACACUCUAAACGUGCAAUUUAACCAGAAUGAAAUUUAGGGCUGCGUGCUGUGGCUCAUGCCUGUAAUCCUAGCACUUUGGGAAGCCAGGUGUAUCCCUUAAGCCCAGGAGUUUGAGAGCAACUUGGGCAACAUGGUGAAACCUGUAUCUACAAAAAAUACAAAAAUUAGCCAGGUGAGGUGGUGUAUGCCUGUAGUUCCAGCUACUUGGGAGGCUGAGAGAUGGGAGGAUUGGUUGAGCCUAGGAGGUCGAGGCUGCUGUGAGCUGUGAUGGUUCCACUGCACUCCAGCCUGGGCGACAGAGACAGACUCCAUCUGAGACAGAGCUGCCCCGUGUUGCCCAGGCCGGAGUGUAGUGAUGCGAUCUUACCUCACUGCAGCUUUGAGUUCCUGGGCGUGGCACAAGCAGUUCUUGAACUCCUGGCCUCAAGCGAUCCUCCUGCCUUGGCCUCCCAAGCUGCUGGGAUUACAGGCGUGAGCCACUGCACCCAGCUGGAAUGCACAUUCUAAGUUACAAGAUCAAAUAACAAGGGAAAGAAGACUUGAUUAUGUAUACACACACAAAAAGAAAGUGUUAUCAAAACUGACAAGAAAA
This 4428-nucleotide long non-coding RNA is filed under the name Homo sapiens (human). RNAcentral describes it as "long non-coding RNA NONHSAT217096.1". Lineage: Eukaryota; Metazoa; Chordata; Mammalia; Primates; Hominidae. The record is from RNAcentral.